RNAcentral lists this transfer RNA (93 nucleotides) under candidate division MSBL1 archaeon SCGC-AAA259E22. Its description in RNAcentral is "candidate divison MSBL1 archaeon SCGC-AAA259E22 tRNA". It matches the Rfam family "tRNA". Rfam says of the family: Transfer RNA (tRNA) molecules are approximately 80 nucleotides in length. Their secondary structure includes four short double-helical elements and three loops (D, anti-codon, and T loops). Further hydrogen bonds mediate the characteristic L-shaped molecular structure. tRNAs have two regions of fundamental functional importance: the anti-codon, which is responsible for specific mRNA codon recognition, and the 3' end, to which the tRNAs corresponding amino acid is attached (by aminoacyl-tRNA synthetases). tRNAs cope with the degeneracy of the genetic code in two manners: having more than one tRNA (with a specific anti-codon) for a particular amino acid; and 'wobble' base-pairing, i.e. permitting non-standard base-pairing at the 3rd anti-codon position. Lineage: Archaea; Methanobacteriati; Methanobacteriota. The record is from Rfam by way of RNAcentral.
GGGCUCAUAGCUCAACUUGGUCAGAGCGCCUGACUCAUAAGGGGUCCCCCCUGAGACAUCAGGUAGUUGUCGGUUCGAAUCCGACCGGGCUCA